This is a long non-coding RNA of Myripristis murdjan (pinecone soldierfish), 87 nucleotides long. RefSeq lists it as uncharacterized. The transcript is spliced from 3 exons. Lineage: Eukaryota; Metazoa; Chordata; Actinopteri; Holocentriformes; Holocentridae. The record is from RefSeq and is a predicted model, not a curated record.
CACGGUUUUACCACACACCCUCCAGCCAAUCAGAAGCCAGUAUGCACCCAGACCAUGGCAUAAAUAUUCUCAUUUCAUUCUGAAUUU